CAGCCGCCGCGGUAAUACGUAGGUGGCAAGCGUUGUCCGGAAUUAUUGGGCGUAAAGGGCUCGCAGGCGGUUUCUUAAGUCUGAUGUGAAAGCCCCCGGCUCAACCGGGGAGGGUCAUUGGAAACUGGGAAACUUGAGUGCAGAAGAGGAGAGUGGAAUUCCACGUGUAGCGGUGAAAUGCGUAGAUAUGUGGAGGAACACCAGUGGCGAAGGCGGCUCUCUGGUCUGUAACUGACGCUGAGGAGCGAAAGCGUGGGGAGCGAACAGGAUUAGAUACCCCCGUAGUCCCUGUCUCUUAUAC
Molecule: ribosomal RNA, 301 nt
Filed under: uncultured bacterium
Lineage: Bacteria
Description: partial 16S ribosomal RNA
Rfam family: Bacterial small subunit ribosomal RNA
Source: RNAcentral